RNAcentral lists this ribosomal RNA (497 nucleotides) under uncultured bacterium. RNAcentral's name for it is "partial 16S ribosomal RNA". It matches the Rfam family "Bacterial small subunit ribosomal RNA", at positions 28 to 507 of the family's 1533-position model. The record is from RNAcentral.
GACGAACGCUGGCGGCGUGCCUAAUACAUGCAAGUUGAGCGCUGAAGGUUGGUACUUGUACCAACUGGAUGAGCAGCGAACGGGUGAGUAACGCGUGGGGAAUCUGCCUUUGAGCGGGGGACAACAUUUGGAAACGAAUGCUAAUACCGCAUAAAAACUUUAAACACAAGUUUUAAGUUUGAAAGAUGCAAUUGCAUCACUCAAAGAUGAUCCCGCGUUGUAUUAGCUAGUUGGUGAGGUAAAGGCUCACCAAGGCGAUGAUACAUAGCCGACCUGAGAGGGUGAUCGGCCACAAUUGGACUUGGACACGGCCCAAACUCCUACGGGAGGCAGCAGUAGGGGAUCUUCGGCAAUGGACGAAAGUCUGACCGAGCAACGCCGGGGGAGUGAAGAAGGUUUUCGGAUCGUAAAACUCUGUUGGUAGGGAAGAACGUUGGUGAGAGUGGAAAGCUCAUCAAGUGACGGUAACUACCCAGAAAGGGACGGCUAACUACGUG